This 497-nucleotide ribosomal RNA is filed under the name uncultured bacterium. Its description in RNAcentral is "partial 16S ribosomal RNA". It matches the Rfam family "Bacterial small subunit ribosomal RNA", at positions 28 to 507 of the family's 1533-position model. The record is from RNAcentral.
GAUGAACGCUGGCGGCGUGCCUAAUACAUGCAAGUCGAGCGAACGGACGAGAAGCUUGCUUCUCUGAUGUUAGCGGCGGACGGGUGAGUAACACGUGGAUAACCUACCUAUAAGACUGGGAUAACUUCGGGAAACCGGAGCUAAUACCGGAUAAUAUUUUGAACCGCAUGGUUCAACAGUGAAAGACGGUCUUGCUGUCACUUAUAGAUGUAUCCGCGCUGCAUUAGCUAGUUGGUAAGGUAACGGCUUACCAAGGCAACGAUGCAUAGCCGACCUGAGAGGGUGAUCGGCCACACUGGAACUGAGACACGGUCCAGACUCCUACGGGAGGCAGCAGUAGGGAAUCUUCCGCAAUGGGCGAAAGCCUGACGGAGCAACGCCGCGUGAGUGAUGAAGGUCUUCGGAUCGUAAAACUCUGUUAUUAGGGAAGAACAUAUGUGUAAGUAACUGUGCACAUCUUGACGGUACCUAAUCAGAAAGCCACGGCUAACUACGUG